This 601-nucleotide ribosomal RNA is filed under the name Marinobacter nauticus. RNAcentral's name for it is "bacterial SSU rRNA". It matches the Rfam family "Bacterial small subunit ribosomal RNA", at positions 72 to 666 of the family's 1533-position model. Lineage: Bacteria; Pseudomonadati; Pseudomonadota; Gammaproteobacteria; Pseudomonadales; Marinobacteraceae. The record is from RNAcentral.
GGGGAAGCUUGCUUCCCGCUGACGAGCGGCGGACGGGUGAGUAAUGCUUAGGAAUCUGCCCAGUAGUGGGGGAUAGCCCGGGGAAACCCGGAUUAAUACCGCAUACGUCCUACGGGAGAAAGCAGGGGAUCUUCGGACCUUGCGCUAUUGGAUGAGCCUAAGUCGGAUUAGCUAGUUGGUGGGGUAAAGGCCUACCAAGGCGACGAUCCGUAGCUGGUCUGAGAGGAUGAUCAGCCACAUCGGGACUGAGACACGGCCCGAACUCCUACGGGAGGCAGCAGUGGGGAAUAUUGGACAAUGGGGGCAACCCUGAUCCAGCCAUGCCGCGUGUGUGAAGAAGGCUUUCGGGUUGUAAAGCACUUUCAGUAGGGAGGAAAACCUUAUGGUUAAUACCCAUGAGGCUUGACGUUACCUACAGAAGAAGCACCGGCUAACUCCGUGCCAGCAGCCGCGGUAAUACGGAGGGUGCGAAGCGUUAAUCGGAAUUACUGGGCGUAAAGCGCGCGUAGGUGGUUUGGUAAGCGAGAUGUGAAAGCCCCGGGCUUAACCUGGGAACGGCAUUUCGAACUGUCAGACUAGAGUGUGGUAGAGGGUAGUGGAA